Molecule: ribosomal RNA, 438 nt
Filed under: uncultured bacterium
Lineage: Bacteria
Description: bacterial SSU rRNA
Rfam family: Bacterial small subunit ribosomal RNA
Source: RNAcentral
AACGCGAAGAACCUUACCUGGGCUUGACACUUAGGGAAAAGCCGUAGAGAUACGGUGUCCUUCGGGGUCCUAAACAGGUAGUGCAUGGCUGUCGUCAGCUCGUGUCGUGAGAUGUUGGGUUAAGUCCCGCAACGAGCGCAACCCUUGUCCUAUGUUGCCAGCGGGUAAUGCCGGGGACUCGUAGGAGACUGCCGAGGUCAACUCGGAGGAAGGUGGGGACGACGUCAAGUCAUCAUGCCCCUUACGUCCAGGGCUGCACACAUGCUACAAUGGCUGGUACAACGGGCUGCUAAUCCGCGAGGAGGAGCCAAUCCCCAAAGCCAGUCUCAGUUCGGAUCGUAGUCUGCAACUCGACUGCGUGAAGUCGGAGUCGCUAGUAAUCCCCGGAUCAGCAACGCCGGGGUGAAUACGUUCCCGGGCCUUGUACACACCGAUAGC